RNAcentral lists this ribosomal RNA (552 nucleotides) under uncultured archaeon. RNAcentral's name for it is "bacterial SSU rRNA". It matches the Rfam family "Archaeal small subunit ribosomal RNA", at positions 325 to 879 of the family's 1478-position model. The record is from RNAcentral.
ACGGGGUGCAGCAGGCGCGAAAACUUUGCAAUGUGCGAAAGCACGACAAGGUUAAUCCGAGUGGUUUGUGCUAAACAGACCUUUUGUUAGUCCUAGAAACACUAACGAAUAAGGGGUGGGCAAGUUCUGGUGUCAGCCGCCGCGGUAAAACCAGCACCUCAAGUGGUCAGGAUGAUUAUUGGGCCUAAAGCAUCCGUAGCCGGCUCUAUAAGUUUCCCGUUAAAUCCAACGUCUCGAGCGUUGGACUGCGGGAAAUACUGUACGGCUAGAGAGUGGGAGAGGUCAGCGGUAUUCUGGGGGUAGGGGCGAAAUCCUUUGAUCCCCGGAGGACCACCAGUGGCGAAGGCUGCUGACUAGAACACGUCUGACGGUCAGGGACGAAAGCUGGGGUAGCGAACCGGAUUAGAUACCCGGGUAGUCCCAGCCGUAAACGAUGCAUGCUAGGUGUUGGGUUGGCCACGAGCCACCCCAGUGCCGCAGGGAAGCCGUUAAGCAUGCCGCCUGGGAAGUACGAUCGCAAGAUUAAAUUUUAAGGAAUUGGCGGGGGAGCAC